UGGGGAAUAUUGGACAAUGGGCGCAAGCCUGAUCCAGCCAUGCCGCGUGAGUGAUGAAGGCCUUAGGGUUGUAAAGCUCUUUCAGUGGGGAAGAUAAUGACGGUACCCACAGAAGAAGCCCCGGCUAACUUCGUGCCAGCAGCCGCGGUAAUACGAAGGGGGCUAGCGUUGUUCGGAUUUACUGGGCGUAAAGCGCACGUAGGCGGAUUGGUCAGUUAGGGGUGAAAUCCCAGAGCUCAACUCUGGAACUGCCUUUAAUACUGCCAGUCUAGAGUCCGGAAGAGGUAAGUGGAACUCCUAGUGUAGAGGUGGAAUUCGUAGAUAUUAGGAAGAACACCAGUGGCGAAGGCGGCUUACUGGUCCGGUACUGACGCUGAGGUGCGAAAGCGUGGGGAGCAAACA
RNAcentral lists this ribosomal RNA (402 nucleotides) under uncultured Devosia sp. RNAcentral's name for it is "bacterial SSU rRNA". It matches the Rfam family "Bacterial small subunit ribosomal RNA", at positions 355 to 774 of the family's 1533-position model. The record is from RNAcentral. Lineage: Bacteria; Pseudomonadati; Pseudomonadota; Alphaproteobacteria; Hyphomicrobiales; Devosiaceae.